This 362-nucleotide ribosomal RNA is filed under the name crenarchaeote enrichment culture clone GAL1_CB. Its description in RNAcentral is "bacterial SSU rRNA". It matches the Rfam family "Archaeal small subunit ribosomal RNA", at positions 693 to 1054 of the family's 1478-position model. Lineage: Archaea; Thermoproteati; Thermoproteota. The record is from RNAcentral.
GACGGUGAGGGAYGAAAGCUGGGGGAGCGAACCGGAUUAGAUACCCGGGUAGUCCCAGCUGUAAACGAUGCAGGCUAGGUGUUUGGACGGCCACGUGCCGUUCUAGUGCCGCAGGGAAGCUGUUAAGCCUGCCGCCUGGGGAGUACGAUCGCAAGAUUGAAACUUAAAGGAAUUGGCGGGGGAGCACCACAAGGGGUGAAGCUUGCGGUUUAAUUGGAGUCAACGCCGGAAAUCUCACCGGGAGCGACAGCAGUAUGAAGGCCAGAUUAAAGGUCUUGCYAGACGAGCUGAGAGGAGGUGCAUGGCCGUCGCCAGUUCGUGCCGUGAGGUGUCCUGKUAAGUCAGGCAACGAGGGAGACCCA